UGCUGAGAGGAAUUACUUAUUUUGGUUUCUUAUUUUCUUUUUGGGAGGUUGGUAACUGUGGCAAUCAGGACUGAGUAUCAGUUCGAUGAGCCAUGCUCCGCAAAAAGUCUGACAGAUAUUGCCUAGAUCCUUAAGACUGUCCUUGAGAGCCCCAUGCAGCACAAAAAUCAUAGUUUGGCUGCAGAAUUGCCCGAAGCUGGAUAUUUACUGACUGAACCUGGCAGCAAAGGGCUCAGAGCACCCACCACCAGCAUGGGUGCUGAGCUCCCAAGCGUCACAGCACAGCUCCGAGGCUGAGGCCACCUCUCCGGGACCACACGGUGCCCUCCAUUGCAGGAGCUGGGCAGGAGGGGGCUGUGGUACUCAGGGAGCAGCCCAGAUCGCCGUGUGAGAGGGGACUUGUGCUAAUGAGCAAUUAAUGUCCAAGCUGCAGCUGAUGCUGCUCAAAGAGUGAUUUAGAAGUUGCUGGGCCCUCACUCGAGUGGCUGCUGCUGGGGCUGGGCCUGCUAAGUGUUAAAUGGGAAGGGGGAAGGGGGGGUCUGCUGGCCCCUUGUCCUGGUGGCAUGGUGGAGGGUGUAGAACUGCUACUGGGCUUUCUCUCUUCCAACUCCUGGGCCACUGGCUUCAUCUCUAAUGAAAAAGAGCCCUCAGAAAGGAUGAGUGUGGCUGGGUAACCCCUGACUGAAGGUGCAAAGAAGCUGGGUGUGAGCACGGAGGGCUGCACGUGGCUGAGACCUUCGCAGUGUGUGUAACUAGGCCGAGCUCUGCCGUUUGAGAAGCUGUGUGCUAGGAAGCUGAGACAUCAGUCUGUGACAUGUUGACAGCCUGUCAGGAAGCUUCAUACACUUUGGGUCAGACGCUCUUUCCCUGAAGAAGAGAAAGAUAUUUAUAGCCGGGUAGGACCGUAGCGGGGAAAUCUCCAGGCUGCAAUACCUGUCAGAUAAGGUUACUUAUGGGCCCCGUUGUAACAGCCCACGUGGAGUCUGCUGCAAGGAAGAAGGAAGGAACUGGCAGGGCUAAUGACUCCAGAAGUGCCGUGGGAUUUUAUGUGAUUGAAUUAAAGCUUCAGAUGGCCCUAUUUGGGGAUAGGAAGUUCCGGCUGAGCUGACGUUACCUAUGUGCAAAAUCACAGGCGCAUCAUGGGAGAAAGAUAAUCAAGUUUUCUGGUCUUGGCUUCAAGUCAGAUGUGAUUUGAUUUGGAUUGCAUAGAGCCUGAGGAAGUGGCUCAGAGGCAACUUGGAGAGUUGGACUUGGUUUCUGGCCUCGCAGAAUAAAAAUCCUCAAACCGUGCUCA
Molecule: long non-coding RNA, 1294 nt
Filed under: Anser brachyrhynchus (Pink-footed goose)
Lineage: Eukaryota; Metazoa; Chordata; Aves; Anseriformes; Anatidae
Description: lncRNA (ENSABRG00000014652.1)
Source: RNAcentral